UGGGAGGCUGAUACUCAAAUAGAGAAAAUCUUUCCUCUAGUUGUCACAAGUUCUCCCUAUAACAAAGCUGCCUUUUGAUGACUGGAACGAAUUAAGAGAAAUCGUAACAGACAGAUACGGGGCAUACAAGU
Euleptes europaea (tarantolino) is the source of this 131-nucleotide non-coding RNA. RefSeq annotates it as small Cajal body-specific RNA 8. The transcript has a single exon. The record is from RefSeq and is a predicted model, not a curated record. Lineage: Eukaryota; Metazoa; Chordata; Lepidosauria; Squamata; Sphaerodactylidae.